Molecule: ribosomal RNA, 253 nt
Filed under: uncultured bacterium
Lineage: Bacteria
Description: partial 16S ribosomal RNA
Rfam family: Bacterial small subunit ribosomal RNA
Source: RNAcentral
UACGUAGGGGGCAAGCGUUGUCCGGAAUCAUUGGGCGUAAAGCGCGCGUAGGCGGCCCAGUAAGUCCGUUGUGAAAGUCAAAGGCUCAACCUUUGAAAGCCGAUGGAUACUGCUGGGCUCGAGUCCGGAAGAGGCGAGUGGAAUUCCUGGUGUAGCGGUGGAAUGCGCAGAUAUCAGGAGGAACACCAAUAGCGAAGGCAGCUCGCUGGGACGGUACUGACGCUAAGGCGCGAAAGCGUGGGGAGCGAACAGG